RNAcentral lists this ribosomal RNA (452 nucleotides) under uncultured bacterium. Its description in RNAcentral is "bacterial SSU rRNA". It matches the Rfam family "Bacterial small subunit ribosomal RNA", at positions 28 to 507 of the family's 1533-position model. The record is from RNAcentral.
GAUGAACGCUGGCGGCGUGCCUAACACAUGCAAGUCGAGCGAUUACUUCGGUAAAGAGCGGCGGACGGGUGAGUAACGCGUGGGUAACCUGCCCUGUACACACGGAUAACAUACCGAAAGGUAUGCUAAUACGAGAUAAUAUGCUUUUGUCGCAAUGGUAGAAGUAUCAAAGCUUUUGCGGUACAGGAUGGACCCGCGUCUGAUUAGCUAGUUGGUAAGGUAACGGCUUACCAAGGCGACGAUCAGUAGCCGACCUGAGAGGGUGAUCGGCCACAUUGGAACUGAGACACGGUCCAAACUCCUACGGGAGGCAGCAGUGGGGAAUAUUGCACAAUGGGCGAAAGCCUGAUGCAGCAACGCCGCGUGAGCGAUGAAGGCCUUCGGGUCGUAAAGCUCUGUCCUCAAGGAAGAUAAUGACGGUACUUGAGGAGGAAGCCCCGGCUAACUACGUG